GACGAACGCUGGCGGCGUGCCUAAUACAUGCAAGUGGGACGCAAGAGAACACACUGUGCUUGCACACCGUGUUUUCUUGAGUCGCGAACGGGUGAGUAACGCGUAGGUAACCUGCCUAUUAGCGGGGGAUAACUAUUGGAAACGAUAGCUAAUACCGCAUAAUAUUAAUUAUUGCAUGAUAAUUGAUUGAAAGAUGCAAGCGCAUCACUAGUAGAUGGACCUGCGUUGUAUUAGCUAGUUGGUAAGGUAAGAGCUUACCAAGGCGACGAUGCAUAGCCGACCUGAGAGGGUGAUCGGCCACACUGGGACUGAGACACGGCCCAGACCUCUACGGGAGGCAGCAGUAGGGAAUCUUCGGCAAUGGACGAAAGUCUGACCGAGCAACGCCGCGUGAGUGAAGAAGGUUUUCGGAUCGUAAAGCUCUGUUGUAAGUCAAGAACGUGUGUGAGAGUGGAAAGU
RNAcentral lists this ribosomal RNA (459 nucleotides) under Streptococcus mutans. RNAcentral's name for it is "bacterial SSU rRNA". It matches the Rfam family "Bacterial small subunit ribosomal RNA", at positions 28 to 463 of the family's 1533-position model. The record is from RNAcentral. Lineage: Bacteria; Bacillati; Bacillota; Bacilli; Lactobacillales; Streptococcaceae.